UACGAACUGUGCGAACGUUAUUCGGAAUCACUGGGCUUAAAGGGUGCGUAGGCGGCUUGUUAAGUCAGGUGUGAAAUCCCCCGGCUCAACCGGGGAACAGCGCUUGAAACUAGCAGGCUGGAGUGAGGCAGGGGUGUGCGGAACGUCCAGUGGAGCGGUGAAAUGUGUAGAUAUUGGAAGGAACGCCGGCGGCGAAAGCGGCACACUGGGCCUUGUCUGACGCUGAGGCACGAAAGCCAGGGGAGUGAACGGG
This 253-nucleotide ribosomal RNA is filed under the name uncultured bacterium. Its description in RNAcentral is "partial 16S ribosomal RNA". It matches the Rfam family "Bacterial small subunit ribosomal RNA", at positions 524 to 776 of the family's 1533-position model. The record is from RNAcentral.